RNAcentral lists this ribosomal RNA (459 nucleotides) under Musicillium theobromae. Its description in RNAcentral is "SSU rRNA". It matches the Rfam family "Bacterial small subunit ribosomal RNA", at positions 409 to 909 of the family's 1533-position model. Lineage: Eukaryota; Fungi; Ascomycota; Sordariomycetes; Glomerellales; Plectosphaerellaceae. The record is from RNAcentral.
UAAAUACUAGUAGGAUUUAAUUGAUUAUUUGAAUAAAGUUUUAAGUACAUAUUGAUAAUGACGGUAUGUAUAGAAUGGUCUUGACCAACCACGUGCCAGCAGUCGCGGUAAUACGUGGGAGACUAGCAUUAUUCAUCUUAAUUAGGUUUAAAGGGUACUCAAACGGUCAAAAUAUCCGAACCAGGUAAUACUUGACUAGAGUUUUAUAUAAGAAGACAGAACCUAGAGUGGAGAGAUAAAAUUCGUUGAUACCAAGGGGACUGGUAAAGGCGAAGGCAGUCUUUUAUGUAAAAACUGACGUUGAAGGACGAAGGCAUCGAAAACAAAAAGGAUUUGAUACCCUAGUAGUCUUUGCAGACAAUGCUGAAUGCCAUAGGUUAGAUAAAAAUUUUAGUCUAUAAAUGAAAAUGAAAGCAUUUCACCUCAAGAGUAAUGUGGCAACGCAGGAACUGAAAUCAC